AAUCACAAAACAGUGACCAUUUAUUAAAUUUGCCCAGAUAGUAGCAAUAAUAGAGAUAUUUAAAUUCCUAAACAAGCAGAGCAAAAUGAACUGAAAUGGUAAUAGCCAAGGGGGAAAUAAAGCACAUUUUACUAAUGUAAAAGAGGAAGACGACUACUUUAGCAUCUUCCAUAAUGAAUAAUAAAAAAGCGAGACUAUUAAGCCAGCCAUUAAGCAUCUAAACCAAUUAGUCAAAUAAACAUUUAAGUACUUACAGGCAAAAGUGUUGUUCUCAUAUAAUGUAUAAAACCCGAAGUGACAGCAGUGGCCAACAGUUUUGCCAAGUGUGCCCCAAGUCGAGCUCAAAGAGCAAAGUUGUGCUACUCUAGUGCCACUUAAAUACAGCAAUUUAUGUGAGUCGAAUUGCAUGUGGAAGGCCACAAGUUCUCCAUCCCAGCCAUAAAGUCUCAUGUGCGCUAGUUAUUUGUGAUGCAAAACGCAUACACAUUUUAUAAAGGCAGUGUUGUAGCAGAGAUCCUGGAGGACACCAUGUUGGAGCGAAACUGAACGUUAGUUUUAUUUUCCCCUCCCUUCUAGUAACUCUGGUGUUUACAGUGGUACCUCGGGUUAAGUACUUAAUUCGUUCUGGAGGUCCGUACUUAACCUGAAAGUGUUCUUAACCUGUAGCACCACUUUAGCUAAUGGAGCCUCCUGCUGCUGCCGCGCCGCCAGAGCCCGAUUUCUGUUCUUAUCCUGAAGCAAAGUUCUUAACCUGAAGCACUAUUUCUGGCUUAGUGGAGUGUGUAACCUGAAGCGUAUGUAACCCGAGAUACCACUGUAUAGAGCUAAUACUCCAAAAAUGUUUUCAAGGAAUCAGUUGACUAUUUGCAAGUCUCAGAGGCAGUGUAUAUGUAGAUCUCUCCCACAGACUGGUAUGGGUUUGCCUCUAGCCUACUAAGCUUGAGAAGAGGCAUCUCCUUCUUUGUAUACAACAGUGACUCAGCCAGAGGGAGGUCAGGCAGCUCCUUUGCACCACCAAUGCCUUCUCCUCUUCAGGUGUGCCAUUAGUCCCACUCUUGCUAUGUCACUUUUCAUAUCUGUGCCACACACUGACCAGCCAUGUUCAAAAAGUAGGAGAUUAUCCCAAAUCAUGGACUGAAGCCAUAUGAGGCCACAGGGUUCUGGAAGGUAGUCAGAUGUGGGUCUAGUCAGAGCCUGGAUGAGAAAUUACUUUUCUAUCAUAGAGUGCCAGUGUGGUUAGGGUGUUAGAUUAGAACUGAGGAAAGCUGUCCUGCUCUGGCCCGUGGAAAACCCCAAUGGCAAGUUUGCCGAACAGGUUGGUUGCCACAGUACUAGGAAGGGCUUCUAGUGAGCAACUUUCUCUGACAAGGGUUGGAAUAAACCAAGGUCUUUUGAGUCUCUUCAGUGUACCUCUCAGAAGCACCUCCUACAUUUGGAGAACGAGUGUGGUAGCCUUACUCAGAGUAGACCCUUGGAAAUUAAGAGACAAGAUUAACCUAGGUCCAUUAAUGGGUCUAUUCUGAGAGGACUUGGGUGAAUAUAGCCAUCUCUGGCCUGACAACAGGCACUUCUCCUGAACUCCAUGGCCUCCUGCCUGGUGAGCCUUCUGUGCCAUUGGAAGCACUUAGGUCCAGGAAAAGGUCUCACAAGAGUCUAGCUCUGGUUCUAGAGGCCAUGGAGCUGAGGGAUCUGAUUCCCUGACCUCCUGAGCACCAGGCUUGGGUUAAAUAACCUCCUGAUCACCAUCAUGUGACACUGUAGCCUCUGACUCGUCCUGGUCACUGCUGGAUCAUGAUAAAAUCCAAGUUCAAAUUCCCAUUCAGACAUGAAACUCACUGGGUGACCUUGGGUCAGUCACUCUCCGCUUUCUCUACCUCAUAGGAUUGAUCUGUUUUACUAUUCUAUUUACUACAUUUAAAAUGGAUCACUGAAGACCUGGGAUAGCUCAAUUGCUAGAGUAUGAGACUCUUAAUUUCAGGGUCGUCGGUUCAAGAACCACAUUGGAUAGAAGAUUCCUGCAUUGUAGAGGGUUGGACUAGAUGACGCUGGUGGUCCCUUCCAAUUCUCUGAUUUUAUAACCACAGCCAACCUUUCCUCCAAGAAGUUCAAAGCACCAUAUAUGAUGCUUCCUCGCUUCCUCCAUUUUAUCCUCACAAUAUUGAUGGUUAGGUUGAGAGACAGUGGCUGGUUACUCAGUGAGUUUUGUUGCUGAGUGGAAAUUUGAAAUCUGGAUUGUUGUGAACAGUGCUAUUUUUCUAGAAACAUUGGUGGUGGAACUCACCAUGAACACCUCCCUUGUUCUCUUAGAAUGGCAAUAGCACCAACUGAGAGGUGCCGGAAUUGAGUUCUUGUGUGUUCCUGCUGAAAAAAGCCCUGGUUGUGAGGAUAAUGUGGAAAGAAGGUAAUCCUUGAAGGAAAGUUUGUUCCAACUUGUUUAAAUAUGUAAUAAUAAUAAUAGUUAUUGUUGUUAUUGUUACUUUAUUAGUUAUACCCUGCCCAUCUGGCUGGGUUUCCCCAGCCACUCUGGGUGGCUUACAGCAGAUCUAAAAACUUAAAAAAAAAUCAAGCGUUAAAAACUUCCCAAUACAGGGCUGCCUUCAGAUGUUUUCUAAAAGUUGUGUAAUUCUUUAUUUCCUUGACAUCUGGGGGGGGGGGCGUUCCACAGGAAGGACGCCGCUACUGAGAAGGCCCUCUGCCUGGUUCCCUGUAACUUUUCUUCUCGCAGUGAGGGAAUCAACAGAAGACCCUUGGAGGAGGACCUCAGUGUCCGGGCUGAACAAUGGGGGUGGAGAGGCUCCUUCAGGUAUACUGGACCGAGGCCAUUAUAGGGCUUUAAAGGUCAGCACCAACACUUUGAAUUGUGCUUGGAAAUGUACUGGGAGCCAGUGAAGAACUUAGUUUACUAUAAGCUUAGUUAGCAAUGCCCCUUUGUGGGGGACUGAGACAGCCUUUAGAUGUUAUCCUCAUAGGCAUUAGGAUUCACAGAGAGACAUUAAAUAUAGCUUCCCCCCUCUUAAAAUUUGUGAUAACCCAAAAGUAUUCCCAUAUCAAAUCAUGUGCUAAGCUAUUCCUAGAUGCUGAACUUUUCUUAAAUGUUAACUGAUGCUUUAUUGAAGAUCUAACCCAGAUAACUGGAUUGCACGACUUAGGAAUUCACAAAAUAUUUCCCUGGUGACGGUAGCUAAACAAGACUGUUAAAUAUCAGAAGGGUCAAUUGAGAAUCCCAUGGUUCCAAACAUAGAUGUAAAAAACCCUCCACCAAUCUCUUUUCUUUACUCUAAAUUAUAUUGCAUCUAUAAAAAAAGGACACAUCACAGGAAAUACAGACUUGCUGAGUGCAAAGAGAAGAAUCAAAAUACACAGAAGAUGGCUUCUGAGGCAGCAAGAGCUAAGAGCUCUGAAUACUGUUGACACUGAAAUUUUUGAAACACUAUUUUGUCAAGUGAAGAAACUGCCAGCUUUUGUUCAGCUUGAUUAUAUUACUAAUGAGUGCUAUCUGUCGUCCACACUCACUACAUUAUUGUCAGCUGAUGUUUUGGAGAGCAAGCUUAGGAUGUUUGUUCAAUGGCUUUUGAGGGACAGAGAUUUCUUCCAUGAUCACCAAUAGAUGGUUCCUUCUGAAAUACAGCUUAGAUGCUUAGGUAGGGACUGCAACAGCCCUAUCUGACAGCUGUCUGGAAGUAACAGCCUUAGAUGGAUGCCAUUUGGCUUUGUAUGAAAUAAUGCUUUGCAAAUGCCUUGCAGAUCAACAUUGUGUGUGCUUGCUUCCUGUAUCAUGUCCAAUGUCUAUUUAUAGAUCAAUAGCUAUAAAAACAAUGACAAGUCUCCUAUGGAAUUAACAUGCUUCCUAUGGAGAUUGCUUAGAGAAGUGGUGAAGCCACACUUUAGGUGGAACCUGGAUCUCACCUAAAAGUGGGGUGGAGAGAUUGAGUGAGAGGGAGAGGGAUUUGAGAGUAAUUUCACAAAAAUAAUAAAGGAUCUAUCUAUGUUUACAUGUGUCCUUGACUUUUCUAGCCCAUAUGCUCCAGUUAUGCUAGGAAGGCACUAUAACAACUUUUUAUUCUUAAAGACGUUCAUUUAACUACUGGAACAAUACGUUUCAGUCUAUGAAAGUUCAGUCUAUUUUUGCUGCAAGACUUUGAACUCAGUGAUACUUUCCUCUGACUUUUAAUUUGUAUAGUGAAUCAAUUGUAUGCAAUAGUUCUUUUCGCAUGACUUACCUUUUAUAUUACAUGAUUUCAAAAAUGAAGUUACAAUUUUUUAAAACUUGCUACCAAUUGAAUAAAUUGAUUCAAAAUUGGGAAAGGAGUACGAAAAGGCUGUGUAUUUUCUCCCUGUUUAUUUAACUUAUAUGUAGAAUCCAUCAUGCGAAAGGCUGGACUGGAUGAAUCCCAAGCCGGAAUUAAGAUUGCCAGAAGAAAUAUCAACAACCUCAGAUAUGCAGAUGACACAAUUUUGAUGGCAGAAAGUGAGAAGGAAUUAAAGAAGCUUUUAAUGAGAGUGAAAGAGGAGAGCGCAAAAUAUGGUCUGAAGCUUAACAU
Non-coding RNA from Podarcis lilfordi (Lilford's wall lizard), 4541 nucleotides. Lineage: Eukaryota; Metazoa; Chordata; Lepidosauria; Squamata; Lacertidae. The record is from the annotation of a GenBank genome assembly.